GUGGUUUAAGUGGGGGCUGGGAAAGCGAGAAUGGCGCGCUGAGAUGUGAAUCUGAAAAAGAGCAGCACCGGAGGCCACAGCUUCAGAAAGGAAUGGGGGCUGGCUCCCCGAGUCACAGCACAGAGGAGACUGAGAGUGAUGAUGGGUGACAUCAUCUCACUGAGUUCCAAGACCAGGCUUGAAUUUGAAAUCCCCCUGCCUCACCCACUUCAGUAGCUGAGAUGACUGGGCUUCGCCAUCUUGUCUGGCUCUCAGAGUGGGAACCCCUGAGAUUCAGAAUGCUGUCAUGAACAGGCUACAAUGCGCCCUGGAAGAGAUGGCAAGAACGAAUAGCUCAGGCAAGGUUUGUCACGGACAUUAACAUAGCAGAAAACAGAAGUGUCAGAGCCUGGGGUCUUCCGGGAGACGAAUGCCAUCGGAGUCUAACUUCUGCUUCACUCCUGAGAGAAUUCCCUUUUUUCCAUCUGGCCAACCAGCAAAGACAAUGCAUCCUAAGCUCUCUUAGGUGUGAGCGACACUCUAGAAACUUCUAAAGGGAGGCGGGCAGCUCUCCAGUGGGACAGGAAGAAGGAACAAGCUUUCAUGCCUCUUGUUUCAUUGCAGGCCAGGAAGGAGAAGCAAGCUGCUCACUUCCCUGAGGUCCCCCUGUCGCUGGAGCUAUUGGGUCACAGUCUGGCUUGCGAUCCAGCUACUGGGGGACUCAUGAUUAUGUCCGAUGAUACCCUCUAUGCCUGUGGCCCUCCUGAUGAACACACCAAGCAACUUCAGGCUUGCCCCAUGCUUGCGUCCUGUAAGACACUAACUAUUGCCCUGCCCUCUGGCCCUUCAGGGAGAGAAGGGAGCAAUGUUACAGGUGUGAGCAAUUGCAACUUCUGCCCCAUCACGUGGUUAUAAACGGACCUCGUUCACUGAUGCAACACACAUCUUGAGCAUCCUGAAGCGCAAGUAGCAUCUUUCUUUAAGGAGUUAAGUAGUCAAGCAGAUGGAAGAGACGUGGGAAGACGGAUUGAACGGAAGAUGCGGAUGGGUCUCAGGGAUGCUGGGUACCCAUGGUGGGGACAUCACCUCCAGGAGCCUGUGCUGCAUGUUCAGAAGUGUGACACUCAACUAUUCUGGACCAUCAGGGGGCCAUUUCAGCCACUAGAAUAUGAAAGGAGCCUAGAGAAUGGACCACGAUCUUAAUCAGACAGAUCUGAGGCCCCGCAUUCUUUCCGACCAAAGGGAAAUUCUUCAUCCUGGGCUGGCAGAGCUGGGAACAACUGGAGUGACUUAGGAAAGGAGUCCUUUAUAGAAACCGACUACCAUCGGGUACUUUAGUGAUGUCAAGGGCACACAAAGAAGGCUCCACUUUGCCUCUCCAUGCAAAUCAGAUCCGGCUACCAGAAAGGAAGGAAGCCCCGUGUUACAAAUGCAACCAUGAAGGAUGCGGGUUGUUACAGGGCAGCUCUCAACUGGGUGACAGAGGAAAGGCCACCUCAGGUAGCACUCCAACUAACCACUUGCUUUCCAGAUCUUCAGCACUCACCUGUUCUAUCUUAAUACAGCCCAAGGAUUAUGGUGAAAAUUAGCCAAAAAAAUAAAAAACACCCUAAACCAAAAAAACAACAUUAAACUUGUGCCAUAAUGCCAUAACUAAUUAACGCCCAAAUAAGCAAAAAGAAAACCAAGAUUAAGAAACAGAACCCAGCAGUAAAAACCAAGUCCUUGGCUUCUAUGAAGUACUCUCCUAUUUGGUUAUAAUAUUUCUUCUUCUGCAGUUUCACAAGGGGAUUAAUUGCCUUUUCAAACCUAGGGAAGGCAACCUGAGCCAUUCUCCUCCUCUGCAAUGCUGGGGAUUGCUAAUACAUGCCAUGGCAGGAAUAACAAAUGCUGGGUUGCUGGGCCCUCGCCCAUGAUUUAUGAAAGGUGUACCUCACUGUGGGAAGAUAAUGCCAUUUGAAAUGGUCCAUUUCAUAAAUCUAUCCCCCAGUCCCCAGCUACAUUGAGGACUCCUGUGAACUCCUGAAUCCAAUAAUGUUUUCAUACUCUAUGAUGAGAGAGAGGGAGAAACAGAGAGAGAGAGAGAGAGAGAGAGAGACUGGAGGAGUUACGAUGCCCUUGCAUGAGGCAGCAGCUAAUGCUCCACUCCAUCUCCAGGGCUUUCUGUGGCAAUGGUCACAGAGUUUCCAAAGUGGAGAAACUUGAAUAAACAAAAUAAAAUAAUCAACACCUACACCAUCCCUGAUGUCCUUUGGCUGUGAGUGGCAUUAAUUACAGCGUGGGCUCCAUCUUCCAGCAGCAACUCAGUGCUCUUCCUGAAGUCGCUCUCUAGCACGUGAGAGAUUUAUCCUUUGGAACCGGUGUAUUUCCUAUUCAUUCAUGCAUCAGCGCAGAAUAUCUGUUUGUUCGUGUAACUGCAAAAGAAGAUUCUCUGCCAAAUGUGAUGGCAGAGGCAGCCAGGGACCAAUCAUAAACCAGGGAAAUUCAUGGUCGUGAGUCUUUCUGGUCAUAAGACAGGUGAGAUAUAUGCACCCAUGCCAUGUGGGCUCCAGAAGACCCUUAUGAAAUACAAGCAGGGGACAGAAGCGGCUUCUUUGGGGUCCAGGGAAAUGGACAGCACCAACACAAAGACAGACUACAAAUGUGUGUGUCAUGUGACUUGCUAGAAGAGAGCCACGUGUGACACGGGCAUCAGCUCCUCACCAAAGAUUCUGAGAGAAGAGACAAAAGGCAUACAACAAUGACACACAGCCAUGGUGACAUGCGUGGCAUGCAGAGGGAAUGGGAAGAAAUCAGAGACUGGGCAAGAAGUGUUUUGUGAUCGCUAAAAAGUUUCUUUAAAGAAUUGACCUAGAUGUCUAUCCUAUGAUGAAUAGAUACCGAGUAUGUGAUACAUUUACACAACAGAGUUUUAUUCACAUGCAAGGGAAAACAAAGUUAUGGAAUUUGCAGGGAAAUAGAUGGAGCCAGAAUAUAGUAUACUGAGUAGGUGAUAGGCCCAGAAAGACAAACAUUGCAUGUUCUCCCUGAACACCGAUGAAUCAUUGCAGACUUGUCUAUUGAACUUGGAAUGCAUGUGCGAACUUGGGAGGGGGAAAGAGACAAUGGAGAGGAGGAAGAAGAGGCUCUUAAACGAGGGCAGUACCCUAUGUCAUCUGAAAACAGGGAGGGGGAUACCCAGAGAUGGUCGUGGGAAGUUGGGGAAAAGAGAAUGAGCUCAGGGUAACCCAAAAUUAAGGAGAUAGGAAGAAGCCACAUUGAAAGCUAGAAAUCUUAUAAGCUAAUUGGAAACUGUAACUUUAAAAGGGUUUGAAUGGAGGCACCCUGCAUUGGGGGGAGGUACUGAUGAUUCUAGGGUUUGAAUGGAGUCACCCUGUAUGAGGGGUACUGAUAAUUCUAGAAUUUGAAUGGAGGCACCCUGAAUGGGGGGGUACUGAUGAUUCUAGGAUUUGAAUAGAGGCACCCUGCAUGGUGGGUACUGAUGAUUCUAGGAUUUGAAUGGAGGCACCCUGCAUGGGAGGGUGUGUAUUGAUGAUUCUAUAAGUCAUUGAACAAAGUUAUUGAACAACAACAAAAACCUCAUGGGUGGGAGGAUUGGCACUCCAAGGCAAGCAAUGUGGCACCACCACAUUCCUACCAGUUAAAGACAGAUGGAUUUGAGAGCAUGGGAAAGAUGGGACAUGGGGUAAAAAUGACGCAACAAGGUGAAUUUGAAAAACUCCCAACAUGGGGUUCUCAUCCAGAUAUCCUGGAAUUUGCAUAUUUUGACUUGUAUUUUAAAAGCAGUUUCAAGGUCAGCUUCAGUAGAGAGACACUGAGCUAAGGUGGGAAAGCACCCCAUUAAAGGUCCAGCGGUGUUUUGCAUAUUUAUUUCCUUUCUUCUAUAGUGAGCGAUGACGACUCAUAAAUCAAAAAAAUCAGGGUAAACAAAUACCAUAGAGAUUAUUUUACACAGAAUGUAUACUCCCUCUUCUACCUAUUUAUACACACAAACAUUUCUAUUACUCGGAUUUAUAAAGUGUGUAAUACAUGCAUGAAUGCUUUAAAAUCUGCAUAUAUCUGCAUAUGAUAAAAAGAAGUAUAUUAUUGUCCCAAGUCUCCAAAGAC
This is a non-coding RNA of Myodes glareolus (Bank vole), 4086 nucleotides long. The record is from RefSeq and is a predicted model, not a curated record. NCBI's taxonomy places the organism in Eukaryota, Metazoa, Chordata, Mammalia, Rodentia, Cricetidae.